AUAAAUUGAUAAAAUCAAGUUAGAAGAGGUAAAUAAUUAGUAUAGUUGGUACUAAGGUUAAGUUGAGAGUAGGAUUGGGCUUAAAAAUCCUUAGGAUAGGUUAGAUUGAUAUCCGGAGGUCAACCGUUUGUGAGACAGGGUUAAAAUCAGAUCUUUGGCCACUAAAAUGACGACGUAGAGCAAAAUAGGGAUUCAUUUGAAGAUUGGAGGGUAGGAUUUCAGAGCUAGCUUGAAGUUCUUUUCAAAGGCAUAAGGAUUUUUUUUGGAAGAUUUUUGACGACUUAGAAUUUUUUUUUCAAAGUCAAGGUUUAUAUUGGUGAUUUGGAUUUUAUAUAAUAUAAUUAAGACUAGCAAUUUUGGCCAGUUCGUGCAAUUGGUAUAACAUCUAUAGUUAAAAAUUUGAUAUUAUUUGAAUUAUUAGGUGUGCUAAGUGUAUACAAAAUACUUGUGAUAAUCUAAUAGUGUGGUUUAGAGAUAUCUGAUUU
Molecule: long non-coding RNA, 485 nt
Filed under: Physcomitrium patens
Lineage: Eukaryota; Viridiplantae; Streptophyta; Bryopsida; Funariales; Funariaceae
Description: long non-coding RNA (PPAT_LNC001805)
Source: RNAcentral